Podarcis lilfordi (Lilford's wall lizard) is the source of this 74-nucleotide non-coding RNA. The record is from the annotation of a GenBank genome assembly. Lineage: Eukaryota; Metazoa; Chordata; Lepidosauria; Squamata; Lacertidae.
ACCUGACUAGCUCAGUUGGUUAGAGUGCAGCGCUGAUAACGCCACGGUUGCAAGUUCAAUCCCCGUAUGGGACA